RNAcentral lists this ribosomal RNA (429 nucleotides) under uncultured bacterium. RNAcentral's name for it is "bacterial SSU rRNA". It matches the Rfam family "Bacterial small subunit ribosomal RNA", at positions 38 to 456 of the family's 1533-position model. The record is from RNAcentral.
GGCGGUGUGCCUAACACAUGCAAGUCGAGCGAGAACCGAUCGAGGGGUAACCCUCGGUCGGGGAGAGCGGCGAACGGGUGAGUAACACGUGGGUAACCUGCCCCAGACACUGGGAUAACACCGGGAAACCGGUGCUAAUACCGGAUAUUCUCGGCGGAUCGCAUGACCUGCCGAGGAAAGCUCCGACGGUCUGGGAUGGGCCCGCGGCCUAUCAGCUUGUUGGUGGGGUAACGGCCUACCAAGGCUCCGACGGGUAGCUGGCGUGAGAGCGUGGCCAGCCACNCUGGGACUGAGACACGGCCCAGACUCCUACGGGAGGCAGCAGUGGGGAAUAUUGCGCUAAUGCGCGAAAGCGUGACGCAGCGACACCGCGUGGGGGAUGAAUGCCUUCGGGUUGUAAACCCCUUUCGACAGGGGAAGAAGCUAACG